UACGUAGGGACCGAGCGUUGUCCGGAAUCAUUGGGCGUAAAGAGCGUGUAGGCGGCCACUUAAGUCCUGCGUGAAAUCUUGCGGCUCAACCGCAAGCGGUCGUGGGAAACUGGGUGGCUAGAGUGCGGGAGAGGAGAGUGGAAUUCCUGGUGUAGCGGUGAAAUGCGCAGAUAUCAGGAGGAACACCAAUUGCGAAGGCAGCUCGCUGGAACGUAACUGACGCUGAGACGCGAAAGCGUGGGGAGCAAACAGG
RNAcentral lists this ribosomal RNA (253 nucleotides) under uncultured bacterium. Its description in RNAcentral is "partial 16S ribosomal RNA". It matches the Rfam family "Bacterial small subunit ribosomal RNA", at positions 524 to 776 of the family's 1533-position model. The record is from RNAcentral.